Molecule: ribosomal RNA, 108 nt
Filed under: Propithecus coquereli (Coquerel's sifaka)
Lineage: Eukaryota; Metazoa; Chordata; Mammalia; Primates; Indriidae
Source: RNAcentral
GUCUACGGACAUACCACCCUGAAAACACCCCAUCUUGUCUGAUCUCAGAAGCUAAGCAGGGUCAGGCCUGGUUAGUACUUGGAUGGGAGAAUACAGUAUAAAUACAUA